GACGAACGCUGGCGGCGUGCUUAACACAUGCGAGUCGAACGGAAAGGCCCUGCUUUUGUGGGGUGCUCGAGUGGCGAACGGGUGAGUAACACGUGAGUAACCUGCCCUUGACUUUGGGAUAACUUCAGGAAACUGGGGCUAAUACCGGAUAGGAGCUCCUGCUGCAUGGUGGGGGGUGGAAAGUUUCGGCGGUUGGGGAUGGACUCGCGGCUUAUCAGCUUGUUGGUGGGGUAGUGGUUUACCAAGGCUUUGACGGGUAGCCGGCCUGAGAGGGUGACCGGCCACAUUGGGACUGAGAUACGGCCCAGACUCCUACGGGAGGCAGCAGGGGGGAAUAUUGCACAAUGGGCGGAAGCCUGAUGCAGCAACGCCGCGUGCGGGAUGACGGCCUUCGGGUUGUAAACCGCUUUCGCCUGUGACGAAGCGUGAGUGACGGUAAUGGGUAAAGAAGCACCGGCUAACUACGUG
RNAcentral lists this ribosomal RNA (468 nucleotides) under uncultured bacterium. RNAcentral's name for it is "partial 16S ribosomal RNA". It matches the Rfam family "Bacterial small subunit ribosomal RNA", at positions 28 to 507 of the family's 1533-position model. The record is from RNAcentral.